Molecule: long non-coding RNA, 559 nt
Filed under: Mytilus galloprovincialis (Mediterranean mussel)
Lineage: Eukaryota; Metazoa; Mollusca; Bivalvia; Mytilida; Mytilidae
Source: RNAcentral
CAGAAUAUAACACUGAUGGUUAUUUUACAGAUAAACAUCGUCAAUGUUUUAUCAAUAUGUUUAUAUACCGUUCUACAGAAAAAGUAAUUCCGUGGUAAUCUGAUCUGUACAGUGCAUUACUGAACAGCCGUAGAUAAAUGUUAUAAGCAUAUUAAACCUGUUGCAGUGCCAACGCGUGUAUACAUACUGUGCUAAUAUAUACGUUAAUUAUUUCAAGGUUUGGGAUUUAUGAGAUCUAAUUAUUGGUCAUAAGAGGGACAUACGAUAGUGAUUUUUUUUCGGAAUCAUUUCGAGAGUUAGAUGUGUUUGACCCGCUGCUUUUCGUGACCUCUUAGGAAUUUUUAUUGGAAUUUAGUAAUUUAUAUAUAUGGCGUUCUGAAUGGGAUGUAAUUAUUGUUUCCGAAGCUUUAUUUUGUGUGUGUAAUUUUUGUUGACAUGGCUGACGUUGAAGAACCAAAAGAUAGUCGUUUUGAUGACGUUGACCUUGAGAGUAUUUUAGCAAGGGUGGAAAGACGAGGACCUUUGACCUUUACUAGGAAGCGAUGCUUAUACAGAGGUA